UAAAAGGUUGGGAAACAUUAUAUACUCCCCGCAGUAAACUCGCCUUAAUUUCCUACAUAGCUCGAGUCAUGGGCAUGGCCCUUCGUUCUCUUCCUGCUAGCUUCCCACACCACACACACACACACACACACACACACACACACACCACACACACACACACACACACACCACACACAAUCACACACACACACACACACACACACACACACACACACACACACACAAUGGCUGUCUUUCUGUCCAUUUUUUUAUUUUACCCCUUUAAUUUGAAAUGCAUUUAUUCAAAAUGAUAACUUUUGACAAUUGGACUUCAACAUGUGAGUCAAACGCACAUCGGACACAGGCGGACAGACAGACAGACAGACAGACCAACUAGCACAAACGCACACACAGUGACAUCCUCAGGGGCCUUUAUUGCUGGCCAGCACACAUGGAGGUCAUUUCAACAGCCUGUCUUCCCCUAAAACCCUUAAAUGGCUUUAACAGCGGGCCGAGCUAGACCAGACACAAACUAAACAGGCGCAUGAGUGUGAUUGCACACGUCCAAUGGCACACAGGAGUAUUUCAAGAUACACACACGCAACCAGCCGAGCUCAAGGGGAACGUAUAACAACGGGGAUUACAACUCCGGCAAUUGAAUUACACAUUGGGAGACAUGAGCAGGACUGAAUGCAUAUAUGUCCGCUGUGCUUAAACCUUCUGUCAAACUCAAACGUUGGUGAAGCCAUGGUUGGAAUAUGGUUACAAGAAGCCACCUGGCUGACUGAGGGAAACAACGGUUGGCUGCUGUCUGCUAAAGCCGAUAGCAGGAACGCAGCCCUUACACUAAGCACCAAACUCUGGAGCUGGAGAAGGAGUUUCCCUUACAACAUGUAUUUAUCGACAAACAGCGCCGCCUAUGAGAUCAGCCAAAACCUUGACCUAACAGACAGGCAGUUCAAAUCUGGUGUCCAGAAUCGCAGAAUGAAGAUGAAGAAGCAACACCGAAGUUCCAGGGAUACUGUGAAAACAAAACAGUGAAAACUGAUUAAACCAAGGACAUAGAAGACUGACCCUCUGAUUCAUUGACUGAAUGACAAAAUCAUUAAGUUAUUCAAAGCAUACAAUAGACACACGCACGCACGCACGCCACACACACACACAACACACACCACACACAACACACACACACACACACACACACACACACACACACACACACACACACACACACACACACACACUCAUACAAAGAUAUAUAAUCAAACACUUAAUAACACACGUUUAAUUCUGUUCCGUGUCACUUGUCCGUUUCAUCAUUGUUAUAUGGAAAUUCCAUUUAUAAUGUAGGCCUACUUUAUAUCCUGUGGGAGCUAGAAUUCAAUUUUUAAUUAAUAAGUUUAUUAGCUUGUCUUUUUGAUGCCCACUUUGAAUUAGCGCACAAUUGGUCACCUUUUUGCUUAUAGUAUUUAGUAAGGCUCCACAUCUAGUACAUUCAGCACUUUUAAAAUAGUCUUGAACAUUGCGUUUCUACGUCUCCAGUGAAGUCAGAGGGGAGCUUUUUGGAUUCCACUGCGUAAAGACAUUAGAACAAAUAUAGUAAUCCCUUGCUGACCCAGCACUUGUGUUACGUAUUGGUACUUGUUACAUCAGAAUAGCAUUGUUUUGCAUGUGUUUAAUUUACACCCAAUAUGUGGCACACAUUUGAUAUAUGCAUGUAUUGCCUGAUAGAAUGCCGGAUAGAUUGAUAACACACAUUCAAUUCGGCUUUCCAAUUUAAUGAUUAAAAUCUUCCAAUGCUUUUUUCCUCGAAGGAAUGUAUUAAUAAAGGAACGCCUAUUCAAAGUUCAGAAAGUGGAGACUUAUUGCACACACUACUUUGCAAACUGAUGCACAGUGCUAUCUAGCUAUUCAUUAAAAAUGUAAAGUAGGACACUGAUAUUCCGUUCGCUAAAUGAAGUGUAGCCUACCGGAUAUUAAACUUUCAUAUUCAGAUCCAGAGGCCACACUGACCAAAUAUUCAAUAAUGAGAGUCUUGAUUAGAGAGAGCCUCAUUGACGUCUAUCUUCAGGUAAUAUUCAAGCUCAUUUAUUUUUUAUUUAUAGUUUUAAUUGAACCAACUUGAGUGUAAAGAUUGCAUUGCCAAAUCAUAGGUUUGAUCUUAUUGUGGUGCCGUAUUCAUCACGGAGAAGCAGUAGAAUUGUAUUGAAAGUGCGGCAUUAAAAAAUAUAGCAUCGGCAUACCAUUCUAAGAUUACAAAUGGGUAUUAUUCUUACAGACGGAUUCAGCCCGAUCUAUCGUGGUCCAAAUGAAGUAUCUAUGUAAAGGCAUAUUAAACAUGGGUUAUUAUUAUUAUUAUUAUUAUUAUUAUUAUUAAUAGAAGAAGUAGUAGUCUAGUAGUAUACAGUAGAAGUAGUAGUAGUGGUAGAAGAGGCAUAGUAUUAGUAUUAUUAUAUAAACUGUUGUAGUAAUACACCUAUUACGUACUGGAUGAUAUCGUAGCCUACGUUUAAAACAAAUAGUAUUAUAACAAAGAAACUUCAUUAUUCAUUUGAUCAAUGUAGCCUACUUAGCUACCAGCCCAAUCUAUACAUUUAAUUAAAGGAAACAACUAAAUAAAUACUUUAUUCACACAUUGAAUUAUGUAAAAUUUAGGUGAGAGGCUUGGUUUGACCUAGCCUUUUAGUUUUUUGUUUGUUUUUGUUGUUUGAGUGUAUUUCGGGAAAGCCUACUUCUUCUGACUUCUAUAGCGAAAUUCCAUGGACAUCCUGAAGACGCGUGAAGUUGAAAAGCCAAGGUGCAGAUGGCUCACGAGACAUCCGCUUUCCGUGUCUCUGUUUGUGCGAGCGAGAGUAAUAAAAAAAAAACCUUAGGUCCACAGCCACAAAAACACACGCCCAUAAACAUAUUCACACAUUCUUUCUCUUGUUGUCUGCUUUUUGUAAUUGUUUGUACCUGGAAGUCCAAAAGCAGACUCUGGAAUUAUUCAUACGAUUUCAUAAAUUAUUGAGAAUGCCCGAAAGGGGAAGAGCUUCGUUUUUGGAUGGAGUAAAUUUAUUUCCAGUUAUUGAUUUAAUACGUGGUUGAGUGUCAGUGGAAAGAGUGCGUUUUAUGAAUUAUUAACCAUUCAUAACCAUGGCAUGAUCCCAUUUUUUCGCCG
This is a long non-coding RNA of Gadus morhua (Atlantic cod), 3139 nucleotides long. NCBI's taxonomy places the organism in Eukaryota, Metazoa, Chordata, Actinopteri, Gadiformes, Gadidae. The record is from Ensembl.